RNAcentral lists this long non-coding RNA (1315 nucleotides) under Mytilus galloprovincialis (Mediterranean mussel). Lineage: Eukaryota; Metazoa; Mollusca; Bivalvia; Mytilida; Mytilidae. The record is from RNAcentral.
AAAAUAAUGUUUCUAAAAUAUAAAACUUGUUUCAGAACGGAAAUAAGAAGGAAAAAAAAAUGUUUUAUAUUUAAAAAAAAACUUAGAUGAGGGCCUUGAUUAGGAUCUUCAUAUCUGUAUUCUAGAAUUUGUGUCUAUUAUUCUCGCCCGUUGGUUGCCAGGACGUCUGCUGAUGCCUGCAUUUUCCCACUGAUAGACCGCGACUUAAAUUUUAUUCUUUUAAUUUUAACACUCGAUUUUUGAGAAGAAAAAAAAAGAUUUUGUCCUAUUAUAUAUUCUUUAAAUUUGGUCUAUUUUCCUCUUUUCGGUAAACCCGUUCUGAUCAUAAUUUAUUUAGAUAAGUGUUGUUCGUCACACUGAGACCCCAUCAUAAAGAAAAAACAAAACACACAAAUAAAAAAAAAAACACACACACACACACACCGAAAUGAAUGGAAGUUGUCCGAGUCGAACCAAACAAAUAUUUUAGACACAAUCUACAGGCAUGCAGGUGUAAUAACUGAUAAUUUUGAUAAGAGGUUCUUACUUCCCACAAAGCUACCUAUGUCAAACAAUAUUUAUUUCUGAUUACAGUAAUAUGAACAAUCGUUUUAGUUCAAAAUCCCACAAACCGAUUGAUUCAUCGAAGUUUUUACCACUGAGAAUUUUGUUCACACAUAAAUUAUACACAGUAUUUUUUUUUCUCAUAAAUGUUAUAUCAAAAGUAUAAUUUAGAUACUUAUAACGUCAGUCAAUCAUGCAAUGCUUCCAUCAGUCUUUAAAAGGAAAUAAUGGCAGUACUGAAAUAUAGUGUGUUACACGGUUGAAAGGGUAGAAAACAGGUUGGGGACUAGGUAUCAUCCACUUUUUGGCAAAAGAAAAUUAAUGACAAAUAAAAAAAAAAUGGAAAUAAAAGAGGACAUUGACAAAACAAUAGACUAUUAUACUAUAGAAUAUAUAUUUUAGAUUAUAGAAGACUUUUAAAUUUUUUGUUUGCUUUCCAAUGACAAAGCCUUGAUCCCUCACCUUCAUUCUAUUCUUACGUAUACGCCGCUAAUAGUUUCGUAACUUGAAUUUGUCCCUUUGUUUAUAAGCGGUGCUACCAAAAAGAAAGUUGAAGAUGCUGGCUGGUAAAUUGUUUUUGAAAAGAUUGGAGACGUUGUAAAUUUUCUUUUAACAUGGUCAGCACUCGUUUACCCAGCUGUCAUUCUGUAUUAUUUCAUUAAGGUUUGGAUAAAAACUGUCAUAAAACAUUUAAGACACAACAAAAUAAGUAUUUGUAUUUAGAAUAAUUGUGUUCUAUUACAAAAUACGGAACAAAAAUAUUGAUUUGACG